This 65-nucleotide transfer RNA is filed under the name Coenochilus striatus. Its description in RNAcentral is "tRNA-His". Lineage: Eukaryota; Metazoa; Arthropoda; Insecta; Coleoptera; Scarabaeidae. The record is from RNAcentral.
ACUUAAAUAGUUUAAUGAAAAUAUUGAUUUGUGAUAUCAAAGAUAUAAUUUAGUUAUUUUAGGUA